Long non-coding RNA from Thunnus maccoyii (southern bluefin tuna), 733 nucleotides. RefSeq lists it as uncharacterized. The record is from RefSeq and is a predicted model, not a curated record. The transcript is spliced from 3 exons. Lineage: Eukaryota; Metazoa; Chordata; Actinopteri; Scombriformes; Scombridae.
UACAUGCACACACACAGAGACACAUGACAAGAUAUAAACAUUCACAUCCUCCCUGCUGUUACCCUUUUGUCAGAUUAAAACUUGUGUAACCACGGUAUCGUGCUCUCAGUCCGAUCAAUACCACCGUUCGAUCAAUCACAUGAGAGGAAAACAAAGCCAGUAGUGUUUGUCAAGGACUGGAUGUAUCAAAUUUUUUUUUAACACUUGUAUCUGCCGCUACAUGUUCCACACCGGGACUCGUUGUACCUGUCACCUACUGGUAGCUAUUUGGUUUCCUAAUACAGAUCUUUCAAAUAUGUGGAGAACGUGCAGAUUCCUCACAGGAAGCACAGGGUAGAGCCAGUGCGCCAAAAAACAGGAUGAAACAGAUGCAGCCGCUGGCUGCCCCUCCCUCCUGCUGAGCACGAUGUUAAUUCUAGUACCAGUGCAAGAAAUUAUGAUCCCAGUUUUAAUAAUAAGUUUUGCAAAACUUUUGUUUUUGUCCGGUUUUUUGGGGGGCUUAAAUCCACCUUUAAUGCCUUGGGAGUGUAAUUUUGCACAGGCAGCAAAAGACAAAAGUGAAAGCUUUGAGGUGUUUCAAAGCUGCAGGAAGCCCUUUAAUCUGACAGCACGUUUCUCAUUAUCAGACUAUGAUCGUAGCUCACACACUGUUCGGGACGUUUGAAGUAAAUUUGAACACGCGUUAAAGUUGUUGGAUGACAUGGUGAAAGUGUUUAAUAAGCUGAAAACAAUC